RNAcentral lists this ribosomal RNA (774 nucleotides) under uncultured Neocallimastigales. Its description in RNAcentral is "partial large subunit ribosomal RNA". It matches the Rfam family "Eukaryotic large subunit ribosomal RNA", at positions 22 to 639 of the family's 3401-position model. The record is from RNAcentral. Lineage: Eukaryota; Fungi; Neocallimastigomycota; Neocallimastigomycetes; Neocallimastigales.
GUACACGCUGUGACUAGCAUAUCAAUAAGCGGAGGAAAAGAAACUAACAAGGAUUCCCCUAGUAACGGCGAGUGAAGCGGGAAGAGCUCAAAUUUGAAAUCUUAAAGGGUUUCCCUUUACGAAUUGUAGUUUAAAGGAGUGUUUUCUGUUGAGGUUUUGGUAAAAGUUCUUUGGAAUAGGACAUCAUAGAGGGUGAGAAUCCCGUAUUUGACCUUUACUUUCAACUUUGUGAUACACUUUCAAAGAGUCGGAUUGUUUGGGAAUGCAGUCCAAAAUGGGUGGUAAAUUUCAUCUAAAGCUAAAUAUUGGCGAGAGACCGAUAGCGAACAAGUACCGUGAGGGAAAGAUGAAAAGAACUUUGAAAAGAGAGUUAAACAGUACGUGAAAUUGUCAAAAGGGAAGCGUUUGACACCAGUGUUGUUUUUCUGAAAAUCAAUUAAAGAACUGUUUAUGCUAAGUUGUUUAGACUUUAUCAGCUAACUGUUUAGUUUUGAGCUUUUCUUUAAUGCACUUUUCAGUUAACAAGUCAACAUCAAUUUCUUUUGCUGUAAAAAAGCUUGAGGAAGGUGGCUUGAGAUUCGUCUUAAGUGUUUAUAGCCUCUUGCCUAUGCAGUCGGAGAGAUUGAGGUCUGCAGCGUAGAUCCUUCGGGGCUAAAUGCAUUUGUGCUAAGUUAUAGCAUUUUAUAGACAACUUGUUGACUAUGAUUUGUCUUGUAGCUUACUCGCUUAUGUUAUUUUACCUACGCUUAGGAUGUUGACGCGCGUGUGUGCGUG